This 253-nucleotide ribosomal RNA is filed under the name uncultured bacterium. RNAcentral's name for it is "partial 16S ribosomal RNA". It matches the Rfam family "Bacterial small subunit ribosomal RNA", at positions 524 to 776 of the family's 1533-position model. The record is from RNAcentral.
GACGUAGGGCGCGAGCGUUGUCCGGAUUUAUUGGGCGUAAAGAGCUCGUAGGCGGCUUGUCGCGUCGUCCGUGAAAACUUGGGGCUCAACCCCAAGCUUGCGGUCGAUACGGGCAGGCUAGAGUUCGGUAGGGAAGACUGGAAUUCCUGGUGUAGCGGUGAAAUGCGCAGAUAUCAGGAGGAACACCGGUGGCGAAGGCGGGUCUCUGGGCCGAUACUGACGCUGAGGAGCGAAAGCGUGGGGAGCGAACAGG